This 460-nucleotide ribosomal RNA is filed under the name uncultured bacterium. RNAcentral describes it as "partial 16S ribosomal RNA". It matches the Rfam family "Bacterial small subunit ribosomal RNA", at positions 338 to 795 of the family's 1533-position model. The record is from RNAcentral.
CCUACGGGUGGCAGCAGUGAGGAAUAUUGGUCAAUGGACGAGAGUCUGAACCAGCCAAGUAGCGUGAAGGAUGACUGCCCUAUGGGUUGUAAACUUCUUUUAUAUGGGAAUAAAACAGGGUAUGCAUACCCUCUUGUAUGUACCAUAUGAAUAAGGAUCGGCUAACUCCGUGACAGCAGCCGCGGUAAUACGGAGGAUCCGAGCGUUAUCCGGAUUUAUUGGGUUUAAAGGGAGCGUAGGUGGAUUGUUAAGUCAGUUGUGAAAGUUUGCGGCUCAACCGUAAAAUUGCAGUUGACACUGGCAGUCGUGAGUACAGUAGAGGUGGGCGGAAUUCGUGGUGUAGCGGUGAAAUGCUUAGAUAUCACGAAGAACUCCGAUUGCGAAGGCAGCUCACUGGACUGCAACUGACACUGAUGCUCGAAAGUGUGGGUAUCAAACAGGAUUAGAUACCCCGGUAGUC